RNAcentral lists this unclassified non-coding RNA (337 nucleotides) under soil metagenome. RNAcentral describes it as "partial contains 5.8S ribosomal RNA, internal transcribed spacer 2, and large subunit ribosomal RNA". The stretch from base 1 to 120 matches the Rfam family "5.8S ribosomal RNA", at positions 35 to 154 of the family's 154-position model. The record is from RNAcentral.
GAUGAAGAACGUAGUGAAAUGCGAUACGUAAUGUGAAUUGCAGAAUUCAGUGAAUCAUCGAGUCUUUGAACGCACAUUGCGCCCCUUGGUAUUCCAUGGGGCAUGCCUGUUCGAGCGUCAUUUGUACCUUCAAGCUCUGCUUGGUGUUGGGUGUUUGUCUCGCCUCUGCGUGUAGACUCGCCUCAAAACAAUUGGCAGCCGGCGUAUUGAUUUCGGAGCGCAGUACAUCUCGCGCUUUGCACUCAUAACGACGACGUCCAAAAGUACAUUUUUACACUCUUGACCUCGGAUCAGGUAGGGAUACCCGCUGAACUUAAGCAUAUCAAUAAGCGGAGGA